GGCCUCUACCGUCUCUCUGUCUUGGGUCCCACACAUCCGAUGGACUCUGCAGUCGCUCAUAGACAUCCAUCUCUUCCCUUUGAAUGGGCGCAUCCUACCAAAUCGGUGCACUAUGCCGUCCGAUACAGAGAGCAGCGAUUUCAGCGACGGCGACCGGCCGCUGUCGGCAGCCGCCUCUGUCUGGAACAUGACUGAGUCCAGCGGCGCGGCCGCCAGCGAUCGCUACGCCACAGCACCGCUUCUGCUUCAGAUCCGCUACAGUCGAGCUGCCCAGCAGACGGAGCUACUUGUAGCAGACGCGCCACCGUCGCCCAGCCGACCGUACAUCCACCCCCAGUUAUUGGCGCAGAGACCCCCACUUGAAACGCAAGACUCCAACAACGCUGAUGUUCAGAGCGGUACGCCCACAACGGUCGGCGCCGCGCCGCAACAUGAACAAAAGUCGGAGAUGAGAAUCGCGGGGCCACCGGCCCCUUCUGCGAUGGCGAGAGAGGUGUCGGCCUGGAGUGAGGCCUGCGCGGCCGACUCCUUCGCUUUCCUGAGAAACGCCAGAGAGCCGUCACUCUCCUACACCUGGACGGACAGCUACCUGGACGAAUCCCCGUCGACAACAAAGGCACGGUGGAUGCAGCAGCGAACCUUCGGCCCUGUUGUACAAUCUGAGGGUGGCGGCAGCAGCACUGUCUCUUCCACACCUCGAGCUCCCUGCGAAACAGAGGCGGUGUGGGGUGGCGUCCAGGCGCGCAGCGCAGCCGCACGCGCCGGCGCUGCCGAAGCCGUAGAUCGGCCGCAAGACGGGCCGGGCGAUGAACGCAGUCGGACCACCCGAGGCGGCGGCGGUGCGCGGCGUCGACGCUUUGAUCUGACGGCGGCGGAGACGGGUGAGAACGGUCUCGGCCGCGAGAGACCUCACGAUGGCGUGUUUGACCACGUCUCCACCAACCACGUUGGAAGGCGCGCGAAAUCAACGACAGCCAAGCCACUCUUUCAUGUGAAUAGAAGCCACACCUCCAUAUGUACAAGCAACGCCUCGACAAGGAUUGCCACAGUCCAGCAACCGCAUCGGAUGGGACAGAUAGCACCGAUAGCGAAGCUUCUGAACGCAGCGGCUGCGGUCAACACCGCGGAAGUCGUGAGGCUCGGUUCUGAUGACGUCAAGGCAGGGGUGUCACCGUCACCGACCACCGACGCCAAUUUGCGAGAGGUAGGCCUCUCUUCUGCGUUCCUCGACAUUGUUGCCGCUUCGAGACCACUCUCUCCAGCACGAGCUGCCAACGUUGCAGACAGUCACAACGCGCCCAGGAGUCGCUCGUCGUCCGACAACCGGAACCAGUGUGAAAGCGACGGAAUGGGUAGCAGCCCCACCGAGAUGGAGCAAAGUCGUGGCAAUCUCAGAGCUUCUCGAUGCUGCCCGCCACGCGGCCGCGUCCUCAAAGUCAUCUACGAGGAUUGAGGGGGGAUCGGAAGCUCACGUGCCCAUGCCACGCGCCCCGAAGGAUGGGACCGCAAGGGCACGUGGAUUGUCUAUUCGAGAGUGAGCAGUCGGCCUACUCAGCCAAGGUCCCACACGGAUGUAAGCCGCUCCGGUUACUCGAGCCGCUCACCUUGAACCAAAACGAUAACAGGCGGGACGGCGGCGGGGCCUAUGUGGUACGACUGCCGUUUUCGGACGCUUUUUUCCUCCCUUUUUCGAUAGACAUCUCCUCCUUUUUUCCUUUCAUGUGUGAGCGCAUGUGUGGGGGAGCGCCGACCAUAUCGUGCGGCGUGUCAUACAAAGUCUCCUGCGUGGAGAUCCUCGCACUGUGGCUUGCCUCCAUCUCUGCGUCCUCCUCUUUUCGUUUUUUUUUUCGACCCAUCACCUCUCUCGUUCCGUAUUCUGUGUCUGUCACGUCUGGAUGUCUUUCUGCUUGUGCGUGCUUGCGUCUGUCUUUCUAUUUUGUCUUCUGCGUGCAUUUUGCCGUUCCCAUCCCCACCACCACCACCUCGUAUUCUUCACCUCAUCUGUUCCCCCAUCUGCUGCCCCGCGUCUCUCCUCACGCGUCGCGUUUGACGGGAGGGGGAGAGUAGAAGCGGUUCGACUCUCAUGGCACAG
Molecule: unclassified non-coding RNA, 2092 nt
Filed under: Leishmania donovani
Lineage: Eukaryota; Euglenozoa; Kinetoplastea; Trypanosomatida; Trypanosomatidae
Description: gene:LdHU3.31.4100(CDS-product:hypothetical_prote in_conserved)
Source: RNAcentral